UGGUGGAGUGAUUUGUCUGGUUAAUUCCGUUAACGAACGAGACCUCAGCCUGCUAAAUAGUUUGUGCUUCAGAUUAUUCUGAAGUCUACAUAACUUCUUAGAGGGACUGUCGGUAUCGAGCCGAAGGAAGUUUGAGGCAAUAACA
RNAcentral lists this ribosomal RNA (145 nucleotides) under uncultured eukaryote. Its description in RNAcentral is "partial 18S ribosomal RNA". It matches the Rfam family "Eukaryotic small subunit ribosomal RNA", at positions 1299 to 1458 of the family's 1831-position model. The record is from RNAcentral.